UUUAAGGUCUAAUCUGCCCUAUGAGGAAUUAAAUGGCUGCGGUACUUUGACCGUGCAAAGGUAGCAUAAUAAUUAGUUUUUUAAUUGAAAGCUGGAAUGAAAGAUUGAACGAGAAAAUUUCUGUCUCAAUUUAAUUUUAUUAGAAUUUUAUAUUUAAGUAAGAAAGCUUAAAUUUUUUUAAAAGACGAGAAGACCCUAUAGAGUUUUAUAGUAUAUUUUGUAUUAAUUUUUUUUAGUAUAUUAAUUUUAAUAUGAUUUAUUUUAUUUUGUUGGGGCGAUAGGAAAAUUUAAUAAACUUUUUUUAUUUUAUUUCAUUUGUCUAUGUUUAAUUGAUCCAUUAUUUAUGAUUAUAAGAUUAAAUUACCUUAGGGAUAACAGCGUAAUUUUUUUUAGAGUUCUUAUCGAAUGAAAAGAUUGCGACCUCGAUGUUGGAUUAAAAUAUAUGUUUGGUGUAGGGGCUAGAUAAUUGGGUCUGUUCGACCUUUAGAAUUUUACA
RNAcentral lists this ribosomal RNA (496 nucleotides) under Aulacoserica sp. DA4157. RNAcentral describes it as "partial 16S large subunit ribosomal RNA". It matches the Rfam family "Bacterial large subunit ribosomal RNA", at positions 1844 to 2600 of the family's 2925-position model. Lineage: Eukaryota; Metazoa; Arthropoda; Insecta; Coleoptera; Scarabaeidae. The record is from RNAcentral.